UGUUUACAUUUUGAUUGUUUACCUUGGCUUUCUAGUGUACAUUUUAAGAAAACUCGUCAAAAUGUAAACAAAACUCUUAUUACAUUUCUGUUUUAGAAUAAUUUUCAAAAUUAGUAGCCUCUGGCCACUUGCUUACUUCCAUAAAGGUCAGUUCCGGCUAGAAAGUCAGUGUUCACGUGACCCUUGUUAGUUUACUUCUUACUUCCUGAUUGACGUAUUUUCUGGACUAGUCUUACUGGACGUUAUUGUAGACAAACCAUGAAGACUUGCCUAUUUGUACUUCUGUUCAUGUCUCUCUUGUUACUAAAGCCAGGUCAAACGUUUAGGCCACAGCACAGAUGUAAGUCAGGGCACGUGCAUUGUUUCCCAAACCCGUGCAGACUGCUACAUUGCCGUGACAAGUGUAUCAGGGGAUGUUACUGUCGUGCCUAUUGUAGCUAACUAUGUACUCGAUCGCACUGACCUCUCCAGACCUGCUCUGCACUGAACUAAAUACACGAGGUUGAAAGGGUGAACGUUUAAGACCAUUAAACUUAAGUAAA
Long non-coding RNA from Biomphalaria glabrata, 542 nucleotides. RefSeq lists it as uncharacterized. The record is from RefSeq and is a predicted model, not a curated record. NCBI's taxonomy places the organism in Eukaryota, Metazoa, Mollusca, Gastropoda, Planorbidae. The transcript has 3 exons.